Molecule: long non-coding RNA, 1587 nt
Filed under: Erythranthe guttata (spotted monkey flower)
Lineage: Eukaryota; Viridiplantae; Streptophyta; Magnoliopsida; Lamiales; Phrymaceae
Description: long non-coding RNA (EGUT_LNC003006)
Source: RNAcentral
CUUGCAAGUUUUUAAACUGCUGUUCAUGGUUGGAUUAUGAUUGAUCCAAAUAAUGAGUUAAUCAUUUUCAGCAAAGCAGAACAAAAUAAUGUCUCCACAUAUCUACGAUAGAAAAUUAAAACCCAUAACUAAAACAUUGAUCAGAGGGCUCAGUUCAUAUCGAAGAAACACGAACCCAACCGAGUUUGAGCAUAUCAAACUGCAUUACGUGAAUACCUCGUCCCAAACUGCAUUAAAAUUUUCAGAUGUAAGUCUAUGUUAGCCUAAUCAAAACACCUGUUUUGCAAUGUAAAUAAAAUUUAUAUCAGUACAAAGCAUACACAGAAGAACUACCUAAGUGAGCAAACAUUGCAUGCUGGGAAUUUAAAUCAAUAAUAAGAAGCAAAUUAUUCAUAAUUUUCAAGAAUAUUGCGUAACAGUCAAGAAAACGCGACGAAAAAAACCGCAAUCUUUUUACGAUGACCUCAAGCAAUUUCGGAUUACUUUCAAGCUAAAAACAUUAAUGGUAUGAACAACCAUGAUAGAAUACUAAAUUUGCUUUAAAUGCUAAUAAGUCAAAAAAUCAUAUUCAAAAGAAAAAUAAAUUGCUUAAAUCCCAAUUAAGUCAUAAAUUAUAUUCAAAAGAACAACCUCCAGCUGUUGUUCCAGUUAACUGCAAUUAUAUAUGAAAAAAUAUAUGUAUAGCUCAUAAACAACAAAACAAGAAAAUAAGCUUGAAUUUCAGAGCAAAAAAAUGGGUUUUCGAGUUUUGGUUUUCUGAUUUCAGGUUUCGGAUUUUCGAGGUUUUGCUUUUCGGAUUUCGGGUUUUGAUUUCGGUUUAGUUUCGGUGAAUUUCAGAUCCACAAGGCAACUCCUACUAAUCGAAAAAUUUGACUCUCCAACUAAAAUUUGAAGGGCUCUACUCUAAACCACACUAUCCUUAUUGAAAAAGCAAGCCCAAAAAAAAAAAAAAAAAAAAAAUCACGAACAAGAAAAAUCAAAUUCUCCGAUUUUCACAUAUGCAUGAACAAGUCAAAAAUCAUAUUCAACUCAUGAUUUUGGUCAAAUUCUCUACCCUUUCUAAAUCAACAAACAAGAACAUAAUCACGAUUAUCAAAUCAACACGGCAAUUCCCACUUAUCGAAAAAUCUAAUCCUCCAACUAAAAAAAAAAAUCAUUUAUUGGAAAACAAAAAAAAAGAAAAAAAAAAAAAAACAAGCAUCUGAUUUUUCACAUACCCUUGCAUGAAUGAACUCUUCGAUUCUCCCUUCAUCGAACUGCCCCGACAAUUUAGGCCCGAAAGAGACUUAAAAGUCUGGAUUUCGUCUUCCCGAUUAAAGAAAAGAAAAGAUGGACAGAAAAUUAUGAAUAAUUUGCUUCUUAUUUUGGAGGAAAGUAGCUGUUAGGGGGAGGGGGGAGGGGGUAGCUGGGAAUUCUUGAGAUGGUCGACGGAAUUUCUGGAAGCGGAGGAGGAGGCGCGGCGGAGCAGGUGGAGGAAAGAUGCGGUGGGAAGCGACGCUGGCGGAAGAGGCGGUGGGCGGCGACCAGGGCGGCGGACGAGGCGGCGGCGGGAGUGGAAGUGGGCGGGAGUCAACGAUUGCAGGCCUC